Molecule: ribosomal RNA, 683 nt
Filed under: uncultured Streptococcaceae bacterium
Lineage: Bacteria; Bacillati; Bacillota; Bacilli; Lactobacillales; Streptococcaceae
Description: bacterial SSU rRNA
Rfam family: Bacterial small subunit ribosomal RNA
Source: RNAcentral
UAGAACGCUGAAGGAGGAGCUUGCUUCUCUGGAUGAGUUGCGAACGGGUGAGUAACGCGUAGGUAACCUGCCUGGUAGCGGGGGAUAACUAUUGGAAACGAUAGCUAAUACCGCAUAAGAGUAGAUGUCGCAUGACAUUUGCUUAAAAGGUGCAAUUGCAUCACUACCAGAUGGACCUGCGUUGUAUUAGCUAGUUGGUGGGGUAACGAGCUCACCAAGGCGACGAUACAUAGCCGACCUGAGAGGGUUGAUCGGCCACACUGGGACUGAGACACGGCCCAGAUUCCUACGGGAGGCAGCAGUAGGGAAUCUUCGGCAAUGGACGGAAGUCUGACCGAGCAACGCCGCGUGAGUGAAGAAGGUUUUCGGAUCGUAAAGCUUUGUUGUAAGAGAAGAACGAGUGUGAGAGUGGAAAGUUCACACUGUGACGGUAUCUUACCAGAAAGGGACGGCUAACUACGUGCCAGCAGCCGCGGUAAUACGUAGGUCCCGAGCGUUGUCCGGAUUUAUUGGGCGUAAAGCGAGCGCAGGCGGUUAGAUAAGUCUGAAGUUAAAGGCUGUGGCUUAACCAUAGUACGCUUUGGAAACUGUUUUACUUGAGUGCAAGAGGGGAGAGUGGAAUUCCAUGUGUAGCGGUGAUAUGCGUAGAUAUAUGGAGGAACACCGGUGGCGAAAGCGGCUCU